AUGCCGGGCAUCAGUUAUGCGUGGCGGACUAGUCUCCAGGGAGUGGAGGUGAUCAAAGAAGGAACGGUUUGGAGGGUGGGUGACGGUGAGAAUAUCAGAAUUUUUCAAGACCCUUGGCUCCCAUCUGGGGCAGUAAAAUUCUCAAGAACACCUCAUGGGGCGUGGCCGUGGGGCACACUACUGAACAAACACCACGAGGAUUUCCUGGCAUGGCAAUUUGAUAACAAGGGCCUGUUUCCGUCCGAUCUGCCUACAGAGUUCAUGUUGAGAUCCUGCAACGACAGAGCACUCGGCAGAGAGGUGAGAGUUCGACGGGAUCUGAAGAGGAGCGAGGGAUGUGUCUUAAGCUCCGGAAGAGUGGAUCUUUACCUUGCGGGAGGAGGAAAUGCUCAAGACUAUUUGCCUCUUGUGGCUAUGGUGGACGGAAAGCAACAAGGCUAUUUUCAUGGUGACCAAACAUAUAGCCGAAUAAUGGGAUGGAGGGAGUACCAGGGAUAUUUCCCUGUUGUGAGAGGGGAUCCCAUGAGCACAGAUAUUCUAUGCUAUAGGCUGGCCAAGUUGCACCCCCCUGUGCGUCAAGGCACCUAUUUGACGCAAAGAGCAGGACCUCUCGUUUUAGGGAAGAGAUGCAAUAGGUCUGAACUCAGCACAAUCAGGAUGGCGGCCAAGCGCAAUUGUAGGCAGAGGGCAAUCCCUUCCAUGACCAUGAGAAGGAAGGUGCGUGUCAUCUUCCCGUCCAUCUUGGCCGAAGGCGCCAGAUCCAGACCACUACCAACACGAUGCCGGCAGCAACCUUCCCACAAGCAGCGGCCAUGGCGUUUCCGCCCCGUCGGUGGCGGCCGCCUCGCCGUCGGCCUCGGCCGUCCAGCUGGAGCCGCGGGUGGAGCAGCACUGCAGCGGGAGGGCGGGUACUGGGUGCUCAAGGAGAAGUACCACACCAGCCUCAGCUCACCAAGCUGCCCAUGGAGUAGAUCGACGCCGACAAGCUCACCAAGGAGGACGUCGAUAUGCGACUCAAGUGGCUCGGCCUCUUCCUCAGCCGCAAGCAGCAGUGUAUGCCCCUGCUCUGUCAAGGGUGACAAUCAGCCAGGAUCAAGCAAGCAGAGAGCAAAUUUUCCUAACAAUGCAAGAGCAUUGCAUUGGACCCCAGCCUCAGAUAUAGAUUGUCCGUCCUUCAUCUUCGUCCGGCCAGCGCUCUUGGAUCGCAGGAAUAAGUUUCUCACACAUCUUUACAAUCAAGUUCUCUUUAAUUCAGCAGCAGCAACAACAGAGGCGGGGGCGGGGAAUACCAGCAGCAACAGAGGCGAGGGCGGGCGCGACCUUCGGAGGAGGGCCAGCACGGAGAGGAAGACCCUGGGCUUGGAGGAGAGGUUGAGCAGGGCCAACGCGGCGAUGAAGACCCUGGGCCAGAGCAGCGACGAAGACCCAGCGCCGCGACGGCGUCCAAAAUUGUCCGCGGCGACGGCGGCCAAGGCGGACCAAAUCGAGGACCUAGUCGUCGAUUUACUGCUUCUUGGCACGAUUCAGAGGGAGGUGACGAAAAGGAAGAACUUUAGGAGCAAUCCCGCUGCUCAGGUAGGCGAGGGCACACCCAUGGCGGCUACGCAGCUGGGCGGCGGCGCAAGGCGCCUCCGUGAAGGUCCUGCGCGUCUCCUCCGCGACGACGCAGGUCGUCUCCUGCACAGGCGGCUGGGUCCUGCGACGCGCGGAGACUCUCUCUGGGUGCUGAGGAGAACGGGGGAGGAAGACGGGGGAUAG
RNAcentral lists this ribosomal RNA (1758 nucleotides) under Triticum aestivum (bread wheat). Its description in RNAcentral is "partial small subunit ribosomal RNA". Lineage: Eukaryota; Viridiplantae; Streptophyta; Magnoliopsida; Poales; Poaceae. The record is from RNAcentral.